CCUACGGGGCGCUGCAGUGAGGAAUAUUGGUCAAUGGACGAGAGUCUGAACCAGCCAAGUAGCGUGAAGGAUGACUGCCCUAUGGGUUGUAAACUUCUUUUAUAUGGGAAUAAAAUGUUCCACGUGUGGGAUUUUGUAUGUACCAUAUGAAUAAGGAUCGGCUAACUCCGUGCCAGCAGCCGCGGUAAUACGGAGGCUCCGAGCGUUAUCCGGAUUUAUUGGGUUUAAAGGGAGCGUAGGUGGAUUGUUAAGUCAGUUGUGAAAGUUUGCGGCUCAACCGUAAAAUUGCAGUUGAAACUGGCAGUCUUGAGUACAGUAGAGGUGGGCGGAAUUCGUGGUGUAGCGGUGAAAUGCUUAGAUAUCACGAAGAACUCCGAUUGCGAAGGCAGUUCACUGGACUGCAACUGACACUGAGGCUCGAAAGUGUGGGUAUCAAACAGGAUUAGAUACCCGGGUAGUC
RNAcentral lists this ribosomal RNA (460 nucleotides) under uncultured bacterium. RNAcentral's name for it is "partial 16S ribosomal RNA". It matches the Rfam family "Bacterial small subunit ribosomal RNA", at positions 338 to 795 of the family's 1533-position model. The record is from RNAcentral.